AUGCGUCCCAUUAGUUAGUUGGUAAGGUAACGGCUUACCAAGACGGCGAUGGGUAGGGGCCCUGAGAGGGGGAUCCCCCACACUGGUACUGAGACACGGACCAGACUCCUACGGGAGGCAGCAGUGAGGAAUAUUGGACAAUGGGCGAGAGCCUGAUCCAGCCAUGCCGCGUGCAGGAAGACGGUCCUAUGGAUUGUAAACUGCUUUUAUACGGGAAGAACAAAGGGCACGUGUGCCCCUCUGACGGUACCGUAAGAAUAAGGAUCGGCUAACUCCGUGCCAGCAGCCGCGGUAAUACGGAGGAUCCAAGCGUUAUCCGGAAUCAUUGGGUUUAAAGGGUCCGUAGGCGGGCCAUUAAGUCAGGGGUGAAAGUCUGCAGCUCAACUGUAGAAUUGCCCUUGAUACUGGUGGCCUUGAGUUAUAGUGAAGUAACUAGAAUAUGUAGUGUAGCGGUGAAAUGCAUAGAUAUUACAUAGAAUACCGAUUGCGAAGGCAGGUUACUAACUAUAUACUGACGCUGAUGGACGAAAGCGUGGGGAGCGAACAGGAUUAGAUACCCUGGUAGUCCACGCCGUAAACGAUGGAUACUAGCUGUCCGGAUGCAAAUCUGGGCGGCCAAGCGAAAGUGAUAAGUAUCCCCACCUGGGGG
This 649-nucleotide ribosomal RNA is filed under the name Arenibacter sp. RNAcentral's name for it is "bacterial SSU rRNA". It matches the Rfam family "Bacterial small subunit ribosomal RNA", at positions 231 to 879 of the family's 1533-position model. The record is from RNAcentral. Lineage: Bacteria; Pseudomonadati; Bacteroidota; Flavobacteriia; Flavobacteriales; Flavobacteriaceae.